GAUUAACGCUGGCGGCGUGCCUAACACAUGCAAGUCGAACGAGGUAGCAAUACCUAGUGGCAGACGGGUGAGUAACGCGUGGUCAACCUACCGUUGAGUGGGGGAUAACUAGCCGAAAGGUUAGCUAAUACCGCAUACGUCUCCGAGGGGCAUCCCUUGGCGAUAAAAGGAGCAAUCCGCUCGAUGACGGGACCGCGUCCCAUUAGCUAGAUGGUGGGGUAACGGCCUACCAUGGCACCGAUGGGUAGCUGGUUUGAGAGAGCGACCAGCCACACUGGGACUGAGAAACGGCCCAGACUCCUACGGGAGGCAGCAGUGAGGAAUUUUCCGCAAUGGGCGCAAGCCUGACGGAGCGACGCCGCGUGUGGGAAGAAGGCCUUCGGGUCGU
Molecule: ribosomal RNA, 388 nt
Filed under: uncultured bacterium
Lineage: Bacteria
Description: bacterial SSU rRNA
Rfam family: Bacterial small subunit ribosomal RNA
Source: RNAcentral